UACGUAGGGUGCGAGCGUUGUCCGGAAUCAUUGGGCGUAAAGCGCACGUAGGCGGCCUCAUAAGUCGGACGUGAAAUCCCUCGGCUCAACCGAGGAAGUGCAUCCGAAACUGCGAGGCUCGAGUAUGGAAGAGGGUCGCAGAAUUCCCGGUGUAGAGGUGAAAUUCGUAGAUAUCGGGAGGAAUACCAGUGGCGAAGGCGGCGACCUGGGCCAAUACUGACGCUGAGGUGCGAAAGCGUGGGGAGCAAACAGG
Molecule: ribosomal RNA, 253 nt
Filed under: uncultured bacterium
Lineage: Bacteria
Description: partial 16S ribosomal RNA
Rfam family: Bacterial small subunit ribosomal RNA
Source: RNAcentral